GGGUUGUGAGGUUAAGCGACUAAGCGUACACGGUGGAUGCCCUGGCAGUCAGAGGCGAUGAAGGGCGUGCUAAUCUGCGAUAAGCGCCGGUAAGGUGAUAUGAACCGUUAUAACCGGCGAUGCCCGAAUGGGGAAACCCAGUGUGACUCGUCACACUAUCAUUAACUGAAUCCAUAGGUUAAUGAGGCGAACCGGGGGAACUGAAACAUCUAAGUACCCCGAGGAAAAGAAAUCAACCGAGAUUCCCCCAGUAGCGGCGAGCGAACGGGGAGGAGCCCAGAGCCUGAAUCAGCAUGUGUGUUAGUGGAAGCGUCUGGAAAGGCGCGCGAUACAGGGUGACAGCCCCGUACACAAAAGCGCAUGUGCUGUGAGCUCGAUGAGUAGGGCGGGACACGUGGUAUCCUGUCUGAAUAUGGGGGGACCAUCCUCCAAGGCUAAAUACUCCUGACUGACCGAUAGUGAACCAGUACCGUGAGGGAAAGGCGAAAAGAACCCCGGCGAGGGGAGUGAAAAAGAACCUGAAACCGUGUACGUACAAGCAGUGGGAGCACAGGUUUACCUGUGUGACUGCGUACCUUUUGUAUAAUGGGUCAGCGACUUAUAUUCUGUAGCAAGGUUAACCGUAUAGGGGAGCCGUAGGGAAACCGAGUCUUAACCGGGCGUUAAGUUGCAGGGUAUAGACCCGAAACCCGGUGAUCUAGCCAUGGGCAGGUUGAAGGUUGGGUAACACUAACUGGAGGACCGAACCGACUAAUGUUGAAAAAUUAGCGGAUGACCUGUGGCUGGGGGUGAAAGGCCAAUCAAACCGGGAGAUAGCUGGUUCUCCCCGAAAGCUAUUUAGGUAGCGCCUCGUGAAUUCAUCUCCGGGGGUAGAGCACUGUUUCGGCUAGGGGGCCAUCCCGGCUUACCAACCCGAUGCAAACUGCGAAUACCGGAGAAUGUUAUCACGGGAGACACACGGCGGGUGCUAACGUCCGUCGUGAAGAGGGAAACAACCCAGACCGCCAGCUAAGGUCCCAAAGUCAUGGUUAAGUGGGAAACGAUGUGGGAAGGCCCAGACAGCCAGGAUGUUGGCUUAGAAGCAGCCAUCAUUUAAAGAAAGCGUAAUAGCUCACUGGUCGAGUCGGCCUGCGCGGAAGAUGUAACGGGGCUAAACCAUGCACCGAAGCUGCGGCAGCGACGCUUAUGCGUUGUUGGGUAGGGGAGCGUUCUGUAAGCCUGUGAAGGUGUGUCGUGAGGCAUGCUGGAGGUAUCAGAAGUGCGAAUGCUGACAUAAGUAACGAUAAAGCGGGUGAAAAGCCCGCUCGCCGGAAGACCAAGGGUUCCUGUCCAACGUUAAUCGGGGCAGGGUGAGUCGACCCCUAAGGCGAGGCCGAAAGGCGUAGUCGAUGGGAAACGGGUUAAUAUUCCUGUACUUGGUGUUACUGCGAAGGGGGGACGGAGAAGGCUAUGUUGGCCGGGCGACGGUUGUCCCGGUUUAAGCGUGUAGGUGUGUGUUCCAGGUAAAUCCGGUUCACUUUAACACUGAGGCGUGAUGACGAGGCACUACGGUGCUGAAGCAACAAAUGCCCUGCUUCCAGGAAAAGCCUCUAAGCAUCAGGUAACAUCAAAUCGUACCCCAAACCGACACAGGUGGUCAGGUAGAGAAUACCAAGGCGCUUGAGAGAACUCGGGUGAAGGAACUAGGCAAAAUGGUGCCGUAACUUCGGGAGAAGGCACGCUGAUAUGUAGGUGAAGUGAUUUACUCAUGGAGCUGAAAUCAGUCGAAGAUACCAGCUGGCUGCAACUGUUUAUUAAAAACACAGCACUGUGCAAACACGAAAGUGGACGUAUACGGUGUGACGCCUGCCCGGUGCCGGAAGGUUAAUUGAUGGGGUCAGCGCAAGCGAAGCUCCUGAUCGAAGCCCCGGUAAACGGCGGCCGUAACUAUAACGGUCCUAAGGUAGCGAAAUUCCUUGUCGGGUAAGUUCCGACCUGCACGAAUGGCGUAAUGAUGGCCAGGCUGUCUCCACCCGAGACUCAGUGAAAUUGAACUCGCUGUGAAGAUGCAGUGUACCCGCGGCAAGACGGAAAGACCCCGUGAACCUUUACUAUAGCUUGACACUGAACAUUGAGCCUUGAUGUGUAGGAUAGGUGGGAGGCUUUGAAGCGUGGACGCCAGUCUGCGUGGAGCCGACCUUGAAAUACCACCCUUUAAUGUUUGAUGUUCUAACGUGGACCCGUAAUCCGGGUUGCGGACAGUGUCUGGUGGGUAGUUUGACUGGGGCGGUCUCCUCCUAAAGAGUAACGGAGGAGCACGAAGGUUGGCUAAUCCUGGUCGGACAUCAGGAGGUUAGUGCAAUGGCAUAAGCCAGCUUGACUGCGAGCGUGACGGCGCGAGCAGGUGCGAAAGCAGGUCAUAGUGAUCCGGUGGUUCUGAAUGGAAGGGCCAUCGCUCAACGGAUAAAAGGUACUCCGGGGAUAACAGGCUGAUACCGCCCAAGAGUUCAUAUCGACGGCGGUGUUUGGCACCUCGAUGUCGGCUCAUCACAUCCUGGGGCUGAAGUAGGUCCCAAGGGUAUGGCUGUUCGCCAUUUAAAGUGGUACGCGAGCUGGGUUUAGAACGUCGUGAGACAGUUCGGUCCCUAUCUGCCGUGGGCGCUGGAGAACUGAGGGGGGCUGCUCCUAGUACGAGAGGACCGGAGUGGACGCAUCACUGGUGUUCGGGUUGUCAUGCCAAUGGCACUGCCCGGUAGCUAAAUGCGGAAGAGAUAAGUGCUGAAAGCAUCUAAGCACGAAACUUGCCCCGAGAUGAGUUCUCCCUGAGACUUAGAGUCUCCUGAAGGAACGUUGAAGACGACGACGUUGAUAGGCCGGGUGUGUAAGCGCAGCGAUGCGUUGAGCUAACCGGUACUAAUGAACCGUGAGGCUUAACCUUACAACGCCGAAG
Molecule: ribosomal RNA, 2929 nt
Filed under: Salmonella enterica subsp. enterica serovar Anatum str. USDA-ARS-USMARC-1728
Lineage: Bacteria; Pseudomonadati; Pseudomonadota; Gammaproteobacteria; Enterobacterales; Enterobacteriaceae
Description: bacterial LSU rRNA
Rfam family: Bacterial large subunit ribosomal RNA
Source: RNAcentral